This 461-nucleotide ribosomal RNA is filed under the name uncultured bacterium. RNAcentral describes it as "partial 16S ribosomal RNA". It matches the Rfam family "Bacterial small subunit ribosomal RNA", at positions 338 to 795 of the family's 1533-position model. The record is from RNAcentral.
CCUACGGGUGGCAGCAGUGAGGAAUAUUGGUCAAUGGGCGAGAGCCUGAACCAGCCAAGUCGCGUGAAGGAUGACGGCCCUACGGGUUGUAAACUUCUUUUGUCAGGGAGCAAUUUAGUCCACGUGUAGUCUUAGCGAGAGUACCUGAAGAAAAAGCAUCGGCUAACUCCGUGCCAGCAGCCGCGUUAAUACGGAGGAUGCGAGCGUUAUCCGGAUUUAUUGGGUUUAAAGGGUGCGUAGGCGGCCUUUUAAGUCAGCGGUGAAAGUGUGUGGCUCAACCAUAAAAUUGCCGUUGAAACUGGGAGGCUUGAGUAUGGUAGAGGCAGGCGGAAUGCGUGGUGUAGCGGUGAAAUGCUUAGAUAUCACGCAGAACCCCGAUUGCGAAGGCAGCCUGCCAAGCCAUGACUGACGCUGAUGCACGAAAGCGUGGGGAUCAAACAGGAUUAGAUACCCGAGUAGUC